This 255-nucleotide ribosomal RNA is filed under the name uncultured bacterium. RNAcentral's name for it is "partial 16S ribosomal RNA". It matches the Rfam family "Bacterial small subunit ribosomal RNA", at positions 524 to 776 of the family's 1533-position model. The record is from RNAcentral.
GACAGAGGUGCCGAGCGUUAGGCGGAAUCACUGGGCUUAAAGCGUGUGUAGGCGGAUCUGUAAGUACCUUGUGAAAUCCCACGGCUCAACCGUGGAACUGCUGGGUAUACUGCGGAUCUUGAGCCACCUAGGGGCGAGCGGAACAAGUGGUGGAGCGGUGAAAUGCGUAGAUAUCACUUGGAACGCCAAUGGUGAAAACAGCUCGCUGGGGGUGUGCUGACGCUGAGACACGAAAGCCAGGGGAGGCGAAACGGG